GAUGAACGCUGGCGGCGUGCCUAAUACAUGCAAGUCGAACGGAAGGUAGCAAUACCUUUAGUGGCGAACGGGUGAGUAACGCGUUGGUGACCUGCCCCGAAGUGUGGAAUAACAGAUCGAAAGAGCUGCUAAUACCGCAUAAUAUCCAGAGGACUAGAUGCCUUUGGAUUAAAGGAUUUAUUCGCUUCGGGAGGGGCCUGCGUCCCAUCAGCUAGUUGGUAAGGUAAAGGCUUACCAAGGCUAUGACGGGUAGGGGACCUGAGAGGGUGGCCCCCCACAAUGGAACUGAAACACGGUCCAUACACCUACGGGUGGCAGCAGUAGGGAAUAUUAGUAAUGGGCGAAAGCCUGAACUAGCAACGCCGCGUGUGCGAAGAAGGCCUUCGGGUUGUAAAGCACUUUUUGAGAGGAUGAGGAAGGACGGUACUCUCAGAAUAAGUCUCGGCUAACUACGUG
Molecule: ribosomal RNA, 456 nt
Filed under: uncultured bacterium
Lineage: Bacteria
Description: bacterial SSU rRNA
Rfam family: Bacterial small subunit ribosomal RNA
Source: RNAcentral